RNAcentral lists this ribosomal RNA (787 nucleotides) under Staphylococcus saprophyticus. RNAcentral's name for it is "bacterial SSU rRNA". It matches the Rfam family "Bacterial small subunit ribosomal RNA", at positions 53 to 822 of the family's 1533-position model. The record is from RNAcentral. Lineage: Bacteria; Bacillati; Bacillota; Bacilli; Caryophanales; Staphylococcaceae.
ACAUGCAAGUCGAGCGAACAGAUAAGGAGCUUGCUCCUUUGACGUUAGCGGCGGACGGGUGAGUAACACGUGGGUAACCUACCUAUAAGACUGGGAUAACUUCGGGAAACCGGAGCUAAUACCGGAUAACAUUUGGAACCGCAUGGUUCUAAAGUGAAAGAUGGUUUUGCUAUCACUUAUAGAUGGACCCGCGCCGUAUUAGCUAGUUGGUAAGGUAACGGCUUACCAAGGCGACGAUACGUAGCCGACCUGAGAGGGUGAUCGGCCACACUGGAACUGAGACACGGUCCAGACUCCUACGGGAGGCAGCAGUAGGGAAUCUUCCGCAAUGGGCGAAAGCCUGACGGAGCAACGCCGCGUGAGUGAUGAAGGGUUUCGGCUCGUAAAACUCUGUUAUUAGGGAAGAACAAACGUGUAAGUAACUGUGCAUGUCUUGACGGUACCUAAUCAGAAAGCCACGGCUAACUACGUGCCAGCAGCCGCGGUAAUACGUAGGUGGCAAGCGUUAUCCGGAAUUAUUGGGCGUAAAGCGCGCGUAGGCGGUUUCUUAAGUCUGAUGUGAAAGCCCACGGCUCAACCGUGGAGGGUCAUUGGAAACUGGGAAACUUGAGUGCAGAAGAGGAAAGUGGAAUUCCAUGUGUAGCGGUGAAAUGCGCAGAGAUAUGGAGGAACACCAGUGGCGAAGGCGACUUUCUGGUCUGUAACUGACGCUGAUGUGCGAAAGCGUGGGGAUCAAACAGGAUUAGAUACCCUGGUAGUCCACGCCGUAAACGAUGAGUGCUAAGUG